Molecule: ribosomal RNA, 1046 nt
Filed under: Priestia flexa
Lineage: Bacteria; Bacillati; Bacillota; Bacilli; Caryophanales; Bacillaceae
Description: bacterial SSU rRNA
Rfam family: Bacterial small subunit ribosomal RNA
Source: RNAcentral
AUGCAAGUCGAGCGAACUGAUUAGAAGCUUGCUUCUAUGACGUAGCGGCGGACGGGUGAGUAACACGUGGGCAACCUGCCUGUAAGACUGGGAUAACUCCGGGAAACCGGAGCUAAUACCGGAUAACAUUUUCUCUUGCAUAAGAGAAAAUUGAAAGAUGGUUUCGGCUAUCACUUACAGAUGGGCCCGCGGUGCAUUAGCUAGUUGGUGAGGUAACGGCUCACCAAGGCAACGAUGCAUAGCCGACCUGAGAGGGUGAUCGGCCACACUGGGACUGAGACACGGCCCAGACUCCUACGGGAGGCAGCAGUAGGGAAUCUUCCGCAAUGGACGAAAGUCUGACGGAGCAACGCCGCGUGAGUGAUGAAGGCUUUCGGGUCGUAAAACUCUGUUGUUAGGGAAGAACAAGUACAAGAGUAACUGCUUGUACCUUGACGGUACCUAACCAGAAAGCCACGGCUAACUACGUGCCAGCAGCCGCGGUAAUACGUAGGUGGCAAGCGUUAUCCGGAAUUAUUGGGCGUAAAGCGCGCGCAGGCGGUUUCUUAAGUCUGAUGUGAAAGCCCACGGCUCAACCGUGGAGGGUCAUUGGAAACUGGGGAACUUGAGUGCAGAAGAGAAAAGCGGAAUUCCACGUGUAGCGGUGAAAUGCGUAGAGAUGUGGAGGAACACCAGUGGCGAAGGCGGCUUUUUGGUCUGUAACUGACGUGAGCGCGAACUGGGAGCAAACAGGAUUAGAUACCCUGGUAGUCCACGCCGUAAACGAUGAGUGCUAAGUGUUAGAGGGUUUCCGCCCUUUAGUGCUGCAGCUAACGCAUUAAGCACUCCGCCUGGGGGAGUACGGUCGCAAGACUGAAACUCAAGGAAUUGACGGGGCCCGCACAAGCGUGGAGCAUGUGUUUAAUUCGAAGCAACGCGAGACUACAGUCUGACAUCUCUGACACUCUGAGAUAGAGCGUCCCUCGGCGACGAGUGACAGUGUUGCAUGUGUCGUCAGCUCGUGUCAUGAGAUGGUGGAUUAGUCCGCACUGAACGCACGUGAUCUA